GUUUAUUUAAUUGUUUUCCCCACUCCUCGGUGGCAGCACUUCCCUGCCAUUAAACCCUGCCAUCCGCGUUCUGACUGCGUAAUUUAAAGCUAUAGUUAAAUUAUGACUUCUCUGAACCUGUUGUGGCACUGACGCAUAACCCUAAUUAAAUGAUCACAUCCAUUCUAAAGCCAGUCUUUUCUCCCCUCAAACGUUAAUUACAACAUAAGAGGCUUUAAUGGCUCGCCUCACCUCCAGCUCCUCGAAAGAAAGGUCAUGCGAUUAAUUUUCGUCAUUAAUCUUUCCCCAAUGUGGACAUUGUGCUGUCACUGGAGCCUAUUAAACCCCCUUUGUCCCCCUCCCCUUCUUCUCCCUUCUCUCCCCUUCUUUCCUCCCCCCCAUCCCUAAGUGAAUGAGAGAACAAAAAUAUUUAAGCUCCACUUUGGCUCUGGUGCUCCUUCAGGUGAGCAGGGCUGGGGAUGGUGGAUAGGAGACGUCCCACAUCCCCCAUCCCACGUCCAACACUCCAUGCCCUGCGUCUCAUGUUCCAUGUUCUACAUCCCGCAUCCCAAGUCCCACGUCCAGCAUCUAAUGUCCUGCAUCCUACGUUCCAUGUCCCACAUCCCAUGUCCUAUGUCUCAUGACCUACACCCCAUGUCCUACAUCUCACAUCCUUUGUUCCAAGUUCCACAUUCUGUGUCCUACAUCCCACAUUCCAUACCCCACACUCCACACCCCGUGUCCCAUGUCCAACAUUUCACAUCCGAUGUCCCUUGCCACGUGUCCAGCAUUCCACAUCCUAAGUCACAUGUCCUACGUCCCAAGUUUCACAUCCCGUGUCCCAUGUCCUAUGUCCCAUUGUCGAUGUCCCACAUCUCACAUCCCUUGUUCAGCAUUCCAUGUCCUAUGACCCAGGUUCCAUAUCCCAUGUUCAACAUCCCAUGUCCCCCAUUGCACGUUCCAUGUCCCACAUUGCACGUCCCAUAUCCCAUGUCCUACGUCCCAUGUCCCCCAUUCCACAUUCCAUAUCCCAGGUUCAACAUCCCACAUCCUACGUUCAAUGUCCCACAUCCCACAUCCCAUCUCCCAUCUCCCGCAUCCCACCGGCACCACCCCAAGAGCAACGCAAGGACGGGUACAAUUUUGGGGUGCUGGGGACCCCAUUGAAUGCAGCAGAGCAAAGCCAACACGCUGGUAGCAGAGCUGUGCACCCAGCCCUGGCAGAGGGCCUGCAGCAAGGCCCCUUUUUUUCCCCUUUCCAGAGGAAAUGGGCAUUUUUCCUAAACUCCACAAAAUUCCUUCAGCGGGUUAAUCCCCCGCCCUGGGCGCAGGUCCUGUUUCUCCCUGCCUGCACCGUGCAAGCGGGAGCGCAGUGCACGUUUUGCUCAUUUGCAGUAUUGUUUCAGCUGAAACGAAG
RNAcentral lists this long non-coding RNA (1396 nucleotides) under Gallus gallus (chicken). RNAcentral's name for it is "lncRNA (ENSGALG00010027758.1)". The record is from RNAcentral. Lineage: Eukaryota; Metazoa; Chordata; Aves; Galliformes; Phasianidae.